Hipposideros armiger (great roundleaf bat) is the source of this 415-nucleotide non-coding RNA. Lineage: Eukaryota; Metazoa; Chordata; Mammalia; Chiroptera; Hipposideridae. The record is from the annotation of a RefSeq genome assembly.
CAGGGCUGAGGUCUCUGGGGAAGGCAGAGCUGUGGUCUAGAAGAAGAUGAGGCUGCUGGGUCUUCUCCUGUGCCUGGUGACAGCCCCCCAAGGUGUCCUGUCCCAGGAGAAGCUGAAGCAGUGGGGCUCAGGACUGGUGAAGCCCUCGCAGACCCUGUCCCUCACCUGUGCUGACUAUGAAGUCUCCAUCACAACCAGUGGUUACCGCUGGCACUGGAUCCGGCAGCCCCUGGGGAAGAGGAUGGAGUGGAUUGGGUGCAUAUGUAACAACGGGGACACAUACUACAGCCCGUCCCUCAAGAGCCGCACCUCCAUCUCCAGAGACACAUCCAAGAACCAGUUCUCCCUGCAGCUGAGCUCUGUGACCUCUGAGGACACAGCUGUGUAUUACUGUUCGAGGGACACAGAUCUCUGA